GACGAACGCUGGCGGCGUGCUUAACACAUGCAAGUCGAACGCUGAAGCUCAGCUUUUGUUGGGUGGAUGAGUGGCGAACGGGUGAGUAACACGUGAGUAACCUGCCCCCUUCUUUGGGAUAACGCCCGGAAACGGGUGCUAAUACUGGAUAUUCACUGGUCUUCGCAUGGGGGUUUGUGGAAAGGGUUUUUCUGGUGGGGGAUGGGCUCACGGCCUAUCAGCUUGUUGGUGGGGUGAUGGCCUACCAAGGCUUUGACGGGUAGCCGGCCUGAGAGGGUGACCGGUCACAUUGGGACUGAGAUACGGCCCAGACUCCUACGGGAGGCAGCAGUGGGGAAUAUUGCACAAUGGGCGCAAGCCUGAUGCAGCGACGCCGCGUGAGGGAUGGAGGCCUUCGGGUUGUGAACCUCUUUCGCUCAUGGUCAAGCCGCAACAAUGGUUGUGGUGAGGGUAGUGGGUAAAGAAGCGCCGGCUAACUACGUG
This 483-nucleotide ribosomal RNA is filed under the name uncultured bacterium. RNAcentral describes it as "partial 16S ribosomal RNA". It matches the Rfam family "Bacterial small subunit ribosomal RNA", at positions 28 to 507 of the family's 1533-position model. The record is from RNAcentral.